Molecule: long non-coding RNA, 502 nt
Filed under: Brassica napus (rape)
Lineage: Eukaryota; Viridiplantae; Streptophyta; Magnoliopsida; Brassicales; Brassicaceae
Description: long non-coding RNA (BNAP_LNC025762)
Source: RNAcentral
UUAUUAUGAAAAUCAUACAAAACAGUUAAAUCCAUCAGGACAGCUCAAAGGACCACACAAUUCGUCCAUCUAUACUAUUAAAACAGAAUACUAUUGUCUUUUUUACCUUAGCAUGCCCUUUCUUUACUAAUAUUGCAUGUUUCAUUAAGGGCAAUCAAGUAAUAUUAAUAACACAUCUAUAUUGGGCCAUUUUUUUCGGAUCCAGCCCACUGUCCACAUCAGAUCUCUCUUGGGUCAUUUGGGCCGAUUAAGAAAUCAGAUCCAAUUCUCACAUUUUUUUUUUCCUUCAGGCCAUUGAGUCCAAGUUCAAAUAAUUUUCUUUCAACCAUUCUUAAUUAUUUUUUUUUUCUUAAUAUAAUUUAAGCAUUCAUAAAAAAAAUUGAUUUUUUCAUUGAAAAGUAUAAAUCUUUGUUAAAAGUAUAUAAUUAUUUUUAUUAAAAAUAUUAACCACAUAAUAAAAUUAAUUUAUCAGAGUUAUACCAACUUAAUUCAUUAAAAAUAA